Molecule: long non-coding RNA, 1043 nt
Organism: Nematostella vectensis (starlet sea anemone)
Lineage: Eukaryota; Metazoa; Cnidaria; Anthozoa; Actiniaria; Edwardsiidae
Exons: 2
Source: RefSeq, a predicted model, not a curated record
CUGUUCACUUAUUUGUUAUGAAUUAUUCAUUAUCACCUGCAAGGAUCAAAGUACAACAUCCCGGAAGAACGCGAGUCAACACAGGGAGCCAACAUGCACGCAAAGAGAGCUAUUGCAGAUUAUUUGUAUUUCAGAUUUAUUCAAGUUUAAACAGUCACGCCCUAGCUUACUUUCAGGGAAGAGGGGGCGGUGUAUGCAGUCUUAAAAAAUUACAGUAAUAUUUCGGUAGCCUUUAGGGAAGUGUAUACACCCCGUACACCUUAAAAAUGGUUGCACUCGAGAAUCCAUGUGUCGCAAAACGCGGUGGUUCAUGGGAGUGUUAGAUAGGGUAUAAUAAAAUAGUACAGGGACCCACUCAAAGGAUCGUCAAAUAUUAUGGCCAAAUGCAAUAUAUUGAAAAUUCUGCUGGGGGAAUUGAAUGAUAUUCAAGCUUUUCAUUGUGGCUUUGCCUUGCAACACUACUGUACCCAAGAUCAGUUUCCUUACAGUCUGGUGAUGGUCCAGCAUUCAGUAUUUGAUCAACACCAAAACAAAGACUUAUACUGCUGUUAUUAUUUUAAACUUUGUUGUUGGUUAUUGGUUUUAGAUUCUAUAAACUCCUGCUGUACAUGAUUUACCAAUCUCUGGAGGAGUAGUUGUACUUAUGAAGAAUCCCUGUGAUUGCUAUUUUGGGAAGAUGUCUUGAAAUAUUUUUUGAUUAAUGUCAAUUUCAUGAAAAUUUGCUCAUAUACAAAUAUGUCUAAACUUGUUGAAUGGAAGUUUCUCAGAUUCUAUGUACCAGGUAAUUGAGCAAAUAGUGAUGCUGUAAAUAAUAGCUAUUAAAUUUUUUUAGUCAAGUAACAUAGACUUACCUAAUUCAAUUGUGAAUUGACAAUACUUAAAUUGUUGUUGUAAAGUUUUGAUCGUGGUUGAUAUUGAAUCAAAACUAUUUCCACACUCACAAAUAUGGUGAGUAUGUGAUGUCAUUGGUUUAAUGUUAUAUAAUCACACAUGGUGAAUAAGUAUAACUUAAGCUUACUGAAUAUUUGAAUCCCCAAAGCUGC